This 497-nucleotide ribosomal RNA is filed under the name uncultured bacterium. RNAcentral describes it as "partial 16S ribosomal RNA". It matches the Rfam family "Bacterial small subunit ribosomal RNA", at positions 28 to 507 of the family's 1533-position model. The record is from RNAcentral.
GAUGAACGCUGGCGGCGUGCCUAAUACAUGCAAGUCGAGCGAACGGACGAGAAGCUUGUUUCUCUGAUGUUAGCGGCGGACGGGUGAGUAACACGUGGAUACUCUACCUAUAAGACUGGUAUAAUUUCGGGAAACCGGAGCUAAUACCGUAUAAUAUUUUGAACCGCAUUGUUCAAAAGUGAAAGACGGUCUUGCUGUCACUUAUAGAUGGAUCCGCGCUGCAUUAGCUAGUUGGUAAGUUACCGGCUUACCAAGGCAACGAUGCAUAGCCGACCUGAGAGGGUGAUAGGCCACACUGGAACUGAGACACGGUCCAGACUCCUACGGGAGGCAGCAGUAGGGAAUCUUCCGCAAUGGGCGAAAGCCUGACGGAGCAACGCCGCGUGAGUGAUGAAGGUCUUCGGAUCGUAAAACUCUGUUAUUAGGGAAGAACAUAUGUGUAAGUAACUGUGCACAUCUUGACGGUACCUAAUCAGAAAGCCACGGCUAACUACGUG